GACGAACGCUGGCGGCGUGCUUAACACAUGCAAGUCGAACGGAAAGGCCCUGCUUUUGUGGGGUGCUCGAGUGGCGAACGGGUGAGUAACACGUGAGUAACCUGCCCUUGACUUUGGGAUAACUUCAGGAAACUGGGGCUAAUACCGGAUAGGAGCUCCUGCUGCAUGGUGGGGGUUGGAAAGUUUCGGCGGUUGGGGAUGGACUCGCGGCUUAUCAGCUUGUUGGUGGGGUAGUGGCUUACCAAGGCUUUGACGGGUAGCCGGCCUGAGAGGGUGACCGGCCACAAUGGGACUGAGAUACGGCGCAGACUCCAACGGGAGGCAGCAGUGGGGAAUAUUGCACAAUGGGCGGAAGCCUGAUGCAGCAACGCCGCGUGCGGGAUGACGGCCUUCGGGUUGUAAACCGAUUUCGCCUGUGACGAAGCGUGAGUGACGGUAAUGGGUAAAGAAGCACCGGCUAACUACGUG
Molecule: ribosomal RNA, 468 nt
Filed under: uncultured bacterium
Lineage: Bacteria
Description: partial 16S ribosomal RNA
Rfam family: Bacterial small subunit ribosomal RNA
Source: RNAcentral